ACUCAAUAUAGCUUAAUUUUAGAGCAAAUCAUUGAAGCUGAUUAGGUGUUAAAACUAUGAGUA
Molecule: transfer RNA, 63 nt
Filed under: Heterometrus longimanus
Lineage: Eukaryota; Metazoa; Arthropoda; Arachnida; Scorpiones; Scorpionidae
Description: tRNA-Phe
Source: RNAcentral